AGGCGGUUUGUCGCGUCUGCUGUGAAAGCCCGGGGCUUACUCCGGGUGUGCAGUGGGUACGGGCAGACUAGAGUGCAGUAGGGGAGACUGGAAUUCCUGGUGUAGCGGUGAAAUGCGCAGAUAUCAGGAGGAACACCGAUGGCGAAGGCAGGUCUCUGGGCUGUUACUGACGCUGAGGAGCGAAAGCAUGGGGAGCGAACAGGAUUAGAUACCCUGGUAGCCCAUGCCGUAAACGUUGGGCACUAGGUGUGGGGGACAUUCCACGUUUUCCGCGCCGUAGCUAACGCAUUAAGUGCCCCGCCUGGGGAGUACGGCCGCAAGGCUAAAACUCAAAGGAAUUGACGGGGGCCCGCACAAGCGGCGGAGCAUGCGGAUUAAUUCGAUGCAACGCGAAGAACCUUACCAAGGCUUGACAUACACCGGACCGGGCCAGAGAUGGUCUUUCCCUUCAGGGCUGGUGUACAGGUGGUGCAUGGUUGUCGUCAGCUCGUGUCGUGAGAUGUUGGGUUAAGUCCCGCAACGAGCGCAACCCUUAUCCUAUGUUGCCAGCGGGUUAUGCCGGGGACUCAUGGGAGACUGCCGGGGUUAACUCGGAGGAAGGUGGGGAUGAC
RNAcentral lists this ribosomal RNA (611 nucleotides) under uncultured bacterium. RNAcentral's name for it is "bacterial SSU rRNA". It matches the Rfam family "Bacterial small subunit ribosomal RNA", at positions 573 to 1183 of the family's 1533-position model. The record is from RNAcentral.